Molecule: ribosomal RNA, 253 nt
Filed under: uncultured bacterium
Lineage: Bacteria
Description: partial 16S ribosomal RNA
Rfam family: Bacterial small subunit ribosomal RNA
Source: RNAcentral
UACGUAGGUGGCAAGCGUUGUCCGGAUUUACUGGGCGUAAAGGGCGCGUAGGCGGUGUGUCAAGUCAGGCGUGAAAGCCCCGGGCUCAACCUGGGAACAGCGCUUGAGACUGGCACGCUCGAGUUCGGGAGAGGAUGGUGGAAUUCCCAGUGUAGAGGUGAAAUUCGUAGAUAUUGGGAAGAACACCGAUGGCGAAGGCAGCCAUCUGGACCGACACUGACGCUGAGGCGCGAAAGCGUGGGGAGCAAACAGG